Molecule: ribosomal RNA, 393 nt
Filed under: uncultured bacterium
Lineage: Bacteria
Description: partial 16S ribosomal RNA
Rfam family: Bacterial small subunit ribosomal RNA
Source: RNAcentral
AUACGGAGGAUGCAAGCGUUAUCCGGAUUUAUUGGGUUUAAAGGGUGCGUAGGCGGUUUGCUAAGCGGGAGGUGAAAUGCCGGCGCUCAACGUCGGAAGUGCCUCCCGAACUGGUGGACUUGAAUGACUCUGCCGUGGGAGGAAUGUGUAGUGUAGCGGUGAAAUGCUUAGAGAUUACACAGAACACCGAUUGCGAAGGCAUCUCACGAAGGGUUGAUUGACGCUGAGGCACGAAAGCGUGGGGGUCAAACAGGAUUAGAUACCCUGGUAGUCCACGCAGUAAACGAUGAUGGCUAACCGCUGGGCUUAUCAGUUCAGUGGCCAAGCGAAAGCGAUAAGUUAUCCACCUGGGGAGUACGACCGCAAGGUUGAAACUCAAAGGAAUUGACGGGG